Molecule: ribosomal RNA, 145 nt
Filed under: uncultured eukaryote
Lineage: Eukaryota
Description: partial 18S ribosomal RNA
Rfam family: Eukaryotic small subunit ribosomal RNA
Source: RNAcentral
UGGUGGAGUGAUUUGUCUGGUUAAUUCCGAUAACGAGCGAGACCUCAGCUUGCUAAUUAGUUGGGUGAAUCUUUUGAUUCUUCCUGUUCCCAACUUCUUAGAGGGACUAUCGGUGAGUAGCCGAUGGAAGUUUGAGGCAAUAACA